This 72-nucleotide transfer RNA is filed under the name Fidelibacterota bacterium. Its description in RNAcentral is "tRNA-Thr". It matches the Rfam family "tRNA". Rfam says of the family: Transfer RNA (tRNA) molecules are approximately 80 nucleotides in length. The record is from RNAcentral. Lineage: Bacteria; Pseudomonadati; Fidelibacterota.
GCCAGUGUAGCUCAGGGGUAGAGCAGUUCUUUCGUAAAGAACAGGUCGUUGGUUCAAAUCCAAUCACUGGCU